This 5022-nucleotide long non-coding RNA is filed under the name Medicago truncatula (barrel medic). Its description in RNAcentral is "long non-coding RNA (MTRU_LNC003874)". The record is from RNAcentral. Lineage: Eukaryota; Viridiplantae; Streptophyta; Magnoliopsida; Fabales; Fabaceae.
AAAUGAACACUGAGCCAGAAGAGGGAGAUGAUGAAUUAGCUGAAGAGGAACCUGUUGGACCUGUCAAGAGAAUUAGGCCCAAACGAAACAAGCAGAAACCCAAGAGGCUGAAUGGAUAUCAGCUGUACUAAAAUGAUAAGAUCAGACCUUCUAGAAUGAUGUUUAGAAUAUUCCUUUUGUAUCAAUGUUUGUUGCUGACUCACUCUAGUUUGUUAGAAUGCAUGAGUCACCAAUCAUUUAGCUACACUAGCGUGCCUUUAUAAGGUUGAAGUAUUGAAUAAAGAGGUAUCAAAGAAAUUAAUGAAGAAAGUUCUCUGUUUUUAUUUGUUAGCUAUAGUACAUUUAUCCUUUUCAAUACCUUAUCCUUUCAUUGGUGCUUUCAUUGAUGUCUUCUCCUCCCACUUCCGAUGAACUCCUCCACCGUAUUCUCCUUGACCUUUCCUCCCUCACCACUGAGGUCAAUCAGAUCCGCACUUGAAUGGGUCCUCCGGGAUUCCAAUUAGCAGAUCCACCACCACAACCCUUGUUUUCUCCAGCUUCCAUUAAACUUGAAAUUCCCACCUUUGACGGCUCCGACCCCCUUGGUUGGAUCUUCAAGAUUAACCAAUUCUUUGAGUUUCAUCAGACGCCGGAAGAUCAGCGCCUCCGUAUGGCGUCGUUCUACAUGCACGGUGAGGCCCUUACGUGGUAUCAGUGGAUGCACUCAAAUGCUCAACUCCUAUCUUGGAAUCACUUCCUCCACGCUCUGGAAAUCCGGUUCGCACCGUCUCACUUCGACGACCCCAAAGGCGCUCUGUUCAAGCUGUGUCAAACUUCCUCUGUCAAGGACUAUCAAACGGAGUUUGAAAGGUUAGCCAACCGCAUCACUGGUUUAUCUCAACAGUGUUAUUUAAGCUGCUUCAUCUCCGGACUCAAACCGGAGCUUCGCCGUGAGGUUCAGGCGUUUCAACCCACUUCAUUACCACACGCCAUCAGUCUCGCAAAGCUGCAGGAGGAUAAGGUAAACGACCGCUUCCCUAAAACUCUUCCUACUCCUAAUACUCCCACCGCCGGACCCUCUCGUUCUCCGAUUCGGCCAGCCUUGACAUCAACACCGCUCAAACCACCCACAAAUCGACCCACCACUAUCAAACGCCUUACCCCUGAUGAAUUACAGGCUCGCCGUGAUCAAGGGUUAUGUUACAACUGUGAUGAACGUUUUCACGUUGGUCACCGUUGCAAACGACUCUUUCAUCUGUUGAUUGCAGCACCCGACCCGGAACCCGACAUACCAGAUGAUGAAACCCUAACCCAACUUCUUAUGGCUUCACCCGCUCCACUACAACCCGACCCACCCACCACCCCAAACACAGAUAAAGCCCAAAUUAGUCUCCACGCUCUCAUGGGCCACCCCAUCCCACAAACCCUCCGCGUCCAUGGCUCUAUUAACAAACAUCCUGUAUCUAUCCUUAUUGACAGUGGUUCUACCCAUAACUUCAUCCAGGAUCGAAUUGCUAAACAAAUAGGCCUUACAACACAACAAGCUCCAGGGUUCCAGGUUCUGGUAGGUAAUGGUGAAGAAUUAGCUUGCACAUUACUCUGUCCUCAAGUUAAUUUACACAUGGGUUCUUACCAAACAAUGGUGGAUAUGUUUAUGCUACCUCUCAGCGACGCCGAAUUGGUUCUUGGAGUGCAAUGGCUCCAAACUCUGGGUCCCAUUCUCACGGAUUUCACUCGCCUAACCAUGCGAUUCAUGAAGGAUGAUGAGGUGGUUCAAUUAACUGGGGUUCCCAGAAGAAGUGCAGAUGAAGCUUCACUACAUCAACUCAGGCGUCUCGCCUCCACCAACGCCAUUGACACCUUACUCCGCUUCCACUUCAAUGGUCCAUCCCCUGAUGAAGCAAUUCCUGAACAGAUUCCGCCUGAAAUUGUGCCAAUCCUCCAGCAGUUCCGGUCCAUUUUUGAGGAACCAGAAACCCUCCCACCUUCGCGCACAAUUGACCAUCGAAUCCCCUUGAAGGAAGGAGCAGACCCAGUUAAUGUCAGGCCGUACCGCUACCCUCACUUCCAGAAGCAAGAGAUAGAAGCACAGAUAACAUCUAUGCUUCAACAAGGUAUUAUUCAGAACAGUUGUAGUGCUUUUUCUUCUCCAGUCCUCUUGGUCAGAAAGAAAGAUGGAACGUGGCGGUUCUGCGUGGAUUACAGGGCUCUCAACGCCAUCACAGUCAAGGAUAGAUUCCCUAUUCCAGCAAUCGACGAGCUACUGGAUGAGCUUUAUGGCACUGCUUACUUCUCCAAACUGGAUCUACGUUCUGGUUAUCACCAAAUACGUAUGAAUCCAGACGAUGUUUCCAAAACGGCGUUCCGGACACACCUCGGACACUACGAAUUCUUGGUGAUGCCGUUUGGGCUGAGUAACGCUCCAUCAACAUUUCAAUCUAGCAUGAAUGAUAUCUUCCACCCUUAUCUACGGAAAUUCGUCAUUGUUUUUUUUGACGACAUACUGGUCUACAGCAAAUCAAUCACUGAACAUGUACAACAUCUGGAACUUGUGUUUAAUUUACUGAUGGAAAACCAUUUGUUUUUAAAAGAAUCAAAGUGUUCUUUUGGUCAGACCUCUAUUGCAUAUCUAGGUCAUAUAGUAUCAGCUGAGGGAGUAGGACCGGAUCCGGAAAAAAUCAACGCCAUGCUCCAAUGGCCUCAACCUGUGAAUGUGAAGCAACUACGGGGAUUCUUAGGACUGACAGGGUUUUAUCGCAAAUUUGUUCAGAACUACGCCAUGGUGGCUCAACCUCUCACUGAAUUGCUUAAAAAGGAUGCUUUUGUAUGGGAUUCCAACGCCCAACAGGCGUUUGAACAGCUGAAACUAGCCAUGACACAAGCUCCGGUGCUGGCCAUGCCUAACUUUAAUGAAGAAUUCGUGAUUGAAACCGACGCUUCUGGCAUAGGCAUGGGGGCGGUUUUGACACAGAACCACCAUCCUAUAUGCUUCUUCAGCAAAAAGUUUUGUAACAAAUUGCUGAAUUCCUCCACUUAUGUCCGAGAACUAUGUGCCAUUACGUCAGCUGUAAAGAAGUGGAGGACUUAUUUAUUGGGCAGGAAAUUCGUAGUACUCACUGAUCAACGCAGCUUGAGAGAGUUGAUGACUCAAGUAAUCCAAACGCCAGAGCAACAAUACUAUCUGGCAAAACUGCUGGGGUAUUUCUAUGAGAUUCGUUAUAAACCAGGAGCUCAGAACAGGGUGGCAGAUGCUCUAUCUCGUAUUCAUGACACUUUCCCCAUGCUCAUGGCUCUAACUGUUCCACAUUGGGAAUUCUUGGAGAAGCUGCGUGAGACUUAUACCACAAAUAUCACAGCUAAGGAACAAUUACAUAAGGUAAUGGAAAACCCUGAAGCGUUUCCCUCGUUUAAAGUAUUUCAAGGGCUGCUGUUUUACAAAGGAAAACUCUAUAUUCCUCCUACAUCCCUGUGUAAGGAAGCAAUCCUACAGGAGUUUCACAGCACACCAUUGGGUGGUCAUAGUGGAAUUCAGAAGACAUAUGGCCGCCUUAAGGAGAACGUUUUUUGGGAAGGUAUGAAAAACGAUGUAACACUGUUUGUAAAUGCGUGCUUAACCUGUCAACACACAAAAACACCUGCUCACCUACCUUAUGGGUUGCUGCAACCGUUACUAGUGCCAGACGGCGUUUGGCAGGACAUCUCAUUAGAUUUCAUCACUGGGCUCCCUUCUUUCCAAAAUUUCACAGUCAUACUGGUGGUAGUAGAUAGACUAUCUAAAGCGGCGCAUUUUGGAAUGUUGGCCAUAGGAUUCACAGCAGUCAAGGUAGCAGAUUUAUUUGCAAGAAUGAUUUGUCGCUUGCACGGGAUGCCCAAGAGCAUCGUUUCAGACAGAGACCCCAUUUUCUUAAGUCGUUUUUGGCAGGAGUUGUUCAGAUUGAGCGGUACCAAGCUGAGAAUGUCAUCUGCCUACCACCCACAAAGUGACGGGCAAACUGAGGUAGUAAACAAAGUAUUACAACAGUAUUUACGAUGCUUUGUUCAUACACAGCCUAAGAAAUGGGGUCGUUACUUACACUGGGCGAAAUGGCAUUACAACACAACCAUACACUCCAGCACCGGAAAAACACCCUUUGAAGUGGUUUAUGGAAAGAAACCACCAUCUCUACCUCAAUACAUACAAGGGACUAGCACACUGGAGGCUAUUGAUAGCGAGUGCACUAACAGGGAUGAAAUGCUAGGUAUGCUCAAAAGAAAAUUGCUCAAGGCGCAAGAGGCCAUGAAACUGCAAGCUGACAAACGCCGCUUGGAGCACACUUUCAAAGUAGGAGAUAAGGUCUUCAUUAAGCUUCGACCAUAUCGCCAAACAUCCCUGCCUGCUCAAAGGAAUCAUAAAUUGUCAAAAAGGUACUAUGGACCUUUCAAAUUGCUGAAACAGAUUGGUGAGGUAGCAUUUGAAGUGGAACUCCCUACUACUAGCAAGAUACAUCCGGUCUUUCAUGUAUCCCAACUGAAGCCGUGCUAUGCUGAUUCUGAAGCUUCCUUGGAUUUACCCCCGGCUUCAAUUGAUAAUCAUCCGGUGAUCACACCUUUGAGCAUUCUGGACUGGAAGGAAGAUCCUUCAACUGGAGAAACACAGAUUUUAGUACAGUGGGCAGGCUCCUAUCCGGAAGAUGCAACAUGGGAAGAACUAGGAGACAUUCAGUUGACGUACCCAGAACUACACCUUGAGGACAAGGUGUUUCUCUAUGGAUCCAGGGAUGAAAUGAACACUGAGCCAGAAGAGGGAGAUGAUGAAUUAGCUGAAGAGGAACCUGUUGGACCUGUCAAGAGAAUUAGGCCCAAACGAAACAAGCAGAAACCCAAGAGGCUGAAUGGAUAUCAGCUGUACUAAAAUGAUAAGAUCAGACCUUCUAGAAUGAUGUUUAGAAUAUUCCUUUUGUAUCAAUGUUUGUUGCUGACUCACUCUAGUUUGUUAGAAUGCAUGAGUCACCAAUCAUUUAGCUACACUAGCGUGCCUUUAUAAGGUUGAAGUAUUGAAUAAAG